Molecule: non-coding RNA, 343 nt
Organism: Anoxybacillus sp. BCO1
Lineage: Bacteria; Bacillati; Bacillota; Bacilli; Caryophanales; Anoxybacillaceae
Source: Rfam
AUUGCAACUCCUUCGGUAAUUUGAUUGGAAGGGCGUCUUAGCUGGAAACGGCUAAGAGGAUGACUGGGUGAAUUGCUGGGAAGCCCUAAAGCUUUCCUUGCCACAACGAAGCUGGAAACGGCAGGCGUGACGGCGUGAAAAAAGGAAAGAUGGAACAAUGGGCAAUCAGCAGCCAAGCUCCUGUGAGGAAACUCUGGAGAAGGUUCAACGACUAGGACAUACCACCUAAGGCGAGGGCUAUGGUGAUGAAGUCUGUAGGGAAAUUCCCGAAGUGCCCAGCCCUUCGCUAGCCAAAUGGCUAGAAAGGUGAAGAGAUAGUCUACACAACGAUCGAAAGACGUUG